GAAACUUAGGUUAAUCCUAAACCAGAGGCCUUCAAAGCCCCAAAUAUGAGCCCGUAUCUCAUAAUUUCUGAUAGACCU
Molecule: transfer RNA, 78 nt
Filed under: Uroplatus sikorae
Lineage: Eukaryota; Metazoa; Chordata; Lepidosauria; Squamata; Gekkonidae
Description: tRNA-Trp
Rfam family: tRNA (bases 1-70)
About the family: Transfer RNA (tRNA) molecules are approximately 80 nucleotides in length. Their secondary structure includes four short double-helical elements and three loops (D, anti-codon, and T loops). Further hydrogen bonds mediate the characteristic L-shaped molecular structure. tRNAs have two regions of fundamental functional importance: the anti-codon, which is responsible for specific mRNA codon recognition, and the 3' end, to which the tRNAs corresponding amino acid is attached (by aminoacyl-tRNA synthetases). tRNAs cope with the degeneracy of the genetic code in two manners: having more than one tRNA (with a specific anti-codon) for a particular amino acid; and 'wobble' base-pairing, i.e. permitting non-standard base-pairing at the 3rd anti-codon position.
Source: RNAcentral